ACGGCAAGCAAAUCUCUUAAAGCCAGUCUCAGUUCGGAUUGUAGGCUGCAACUCGCCUACAUGAAGUCGGAAUCGCUAGUAAUCGCGCAUCAGCCAUGGCGCGGUGAAUACGUUCCCGGGCCUUGUACACACCGCCCGUCACACCAUGAGAGUUGGGAAUACCCGAAGCCUGUGAGCUAACUUUUAGAGGCAGCAGUCGAAGGUAGAGCCAAUGAUUGGGGUGAAGUCGUAACAAGGUACC
This 241-nucleotide ribosomal RNA is filed under the name uncultured bacterium. Its description in RNAcentral is "partial 16S ribosomal RNA". It matches the Rfam family "Bacterial small subunit ribosomal RNA", at positions 1260 to 1500 of the family's 1533-position model. The record is from RNAcentral.